AGCCUCUAGGGCUAUUGAAAAAGCAACUUUCUCACUUCCGCAUGGGUGCUGAUCAAAAGCAUGUAGACUGGAACUAUAAUUUAUCAAUAACAACCCUGGGCUGAUCUUGGUGUUUCCAAGAGACUGUGGGCAGACUAAGUACAAAAUAUAACAUUUCAUAAUAAUGUGAUCAGUUGCUUUGGUUGCUUCGUUGAAGGAGGACAGGGGGGCGACGCAAGAGAGAGGCCUGAUAAUGUGUGUGCCGAAUGUACAUUCUUGAAAAGAUACUUCCCUGAAGAUAUAAGAAGAGUGGAAGUCGAUUAGGAUUACAACAAGUUCGCAAGUCAACAUGAUCAUCGCGUUUAUCACAGUAGGUAUUAUGAUCCUACUCAUCUGUUGGCUCUUCCAACUCAAGUCUUCACAGUACUUGGUCUCCGGGGGCGAGCCUGGACAGCAGCAACAACAGCAACAGCAACAGCAACAGCGGUGGCAGUCUCCUGCACCAAGAACCAGGAUUUUCAUCCUAUCUUCGCCAACUCGAGCCAAGUGCCCCUACCAAAAUAUAAACUCUGUCUCCCCCAUCCGUCAAACCGGCAAUCAGAUUUCGAUUACUACAGCACCCUGUCCAUUGCCACAAAAGCCGAUGCCAUCUCCAACGCCUGCUAUAAAAAUUUACGCCCCACCACCUUCCUACAGCGAGGUAGUCGUCGUUGGGAAGUCUGAGUCACAAAUAUCGACUUCAGUUUAAUGUCGAGAACAGCAAAGAUGGUACACUACAGUACAAGAUGGUUCACUCUUCUCUUUGAGUUGGAGCCUAUUAAAAAAAGCUUCCGCAAAAUUCAAUGGAGCCGUCUUCGAAAAAGUGUGGACUUUUCGAAUAGAGUUACCCUACUUGUAUGAAACAAAUCAAAGUGAAAUUGUGAUUAUUUUGUUGUAAUACAUUAGAAUUCAAAUUUCCAAAGAACGCCUGGUUACGCUGAUAAAAAGGUUCUUUUCAGAAGGAAGAAACGACUGCCUUCGUCGUUUAAUUUGGCUUUAGAAUUGGAGGCGAGACGUCAUUGAUUUUUUUUUUUUUUUAAACACCAAACUCCGCAUUGUUUGAACCCGAACAGCUGAUUUUAGAAUGAUGAGCAGCAGUCGAUCCGCAUGUGCAAGGAGGCAAUAUUUCUCUUCUCCUUCUGGAGAAACGAAAGAGCGUCCAAACAGUGACUGCAGCACCUUCUGAGCUGACUUCUCGGACACUUGUGUUUUGUUUUUUGCUUGCUGAGUGAACCAUCUUGUAGUGUACGAUCUUUGAGAACUGUGCUUGUCAACCUUUUUAUAGCCAGCACCCACUUUUGCCGUAUUUAAAAUUAAAUUUUCGUACCGUCCACUUGCAUGUAUUUCUAAGCAUACUAUAAUUUUUUUUAAUAGUUCCUGUCACUAUCCGGGUGAUCCCCACUCCCCACUGCACACCAAAAUUACUAAAUCGCUCACUUGCGGAUGGUAUCGCUCAUGUUGCCACGCACUGGUUUAGUAUAACUCUCGGUGUCCUCUGAAUUGCCAGCAUUAUCCAAAUAUUAUCAGAAAACAACAAGCCUUUCA
Molecule: long non-coding RNA, 1563 nt
Filed under: Aplysia californica (California sea hare)
Lineage: Eukaryota; Metazoa; Mollusca; Gastropoda; Aplysiida; Aplysiidae
Description: uncharacterized LOC101853649
Source: RNAcentral